RNAcentral lists this ribosomal RNA (482 nucleotides) under uncultured bacterium. Its description in RNAcentral is "bacterial SSU rRNA". It matches the Rfam family "Bacterial small subunit ribosomal RNA", at positions 28 to 526 of the family's 1533-position model. The record is from RNAcentral.
GACGAACGCUGGCGGCGUGCUUAACACAUGCAAGUCGAACGGUGAACCGCUUCGGUGGGGAUCAGUGGCGAACGGGUGAGUAACACGUGGGCAACCUGCCCCCAGCUCUGGGAUAACUCCAAGAAAUUGGUGCUAAUACCGGAUGUGACCGCUGACCGCAUGGUCUGGUGGUGGAAAGAUUCAUCGGCUGGGGAUGGGCCCGCGGCCUAUCAGCUUGUUGGUGGGGUGAUGGCCUACCAAGGCGACGACGGGUAGCCGGCCUGAGAGGGUGACCGGCCACACUGGGACUGAGACACGGCCCAGACUCCUACGGGAGGCAGCAGUGGGGAAUAUUGCGCAAUGGGCGAAAGCCUGACGCAGCGACGCCGCGUGAGGGAUGACGGCCUUCGGGUUGUAAACCUCUUUCAGUAGGGACGAAGCGCAAGUGACGGUACCUACAGAAGAAGCACCGGCCAACUACGUGCCAGCAGCCGCCGUAAGAC